This 1548-nucleotide long non-coding RNA is filed under the name Populus trichocarpa (black cottonwood). RNAcentral's name for it is "long non-coding RNA (PTRI_LNC004468)". Lineage: Eukaryota; Viridiplantae; Streptophyta; Magnoliopsida; Malpighiales; Salicaceae. The record is from RNAcentral.
UGUAUUUUCCAGAUUGGUCCAAUUUUGGUAAAAUUACGUUUUGGUCCCUGUUUUGGAAAAUUGUCGUUUUAGUCCAUAAACUUAGGAGAAUAAACCUGAUUUUAUUUUAUGCAUUGGGAUCUCUUGUUUGAGUUGCUUUUGAGUAUUUUUCAUAUUGUUGUAGGUUCUCCUAACAAUCCUCAAUAGGAUUUUCGGGUCUUUCGUCUGACAUUCCUUUAGUUCUAUAUUUUUCGGGUGAGUGGGAUAAUCUUUAAUAUGCAUAUAUGAUAAGUAAAUAUGUAUGUUGAUUAUACAAUGAGUACAACUCGUUAAUUUCUUGAAUAAUUAUAUAUGUUGCUUAUUUUCCGAGUACUCAUUUAUUCUUGAAUUUGCACUCGCAAUCUGUCAAAGUAAAUUCUAUUUGAUAUGAUAUACGUUUCUUUGAUGAUUAUGUGAAUAUCUAUUAUGCCUUGAUAUGGGACUUGUCAGUAACUCCAUGCUAACGGAGAGUAGUUAGCCUAUGUGCAUAUAGUAUUUUGUAAACCUAGCUGGUGAGAGAGGCAUCAGCCUGUGGCGACUGAUCAUCCCACAGUGGUCACCUUCGGGUGUCAUCUGGUCUGGUCACCUUCGGGUGUCAUCUGGUCACCUUUGGGUGUCAUCUGAUCUCUGACAUGUAGUCCACUACGUUAUGAUGAUAUGUUUAGUAUGUAUAUGAUAUGUUCAGUAUGUAUAUGUAUAUGUAUAUCAAGAUAAAGGAUCUUGCGAACUAUUAAUAUCAAGAAUAUCUAAAAUGUAUAUUAAUUAUUAUUCCCUCACUGAGUUGGUUGAACUCACCCCUCAUUCUUAAUAUUAUUUCAGGUUCUUAGUUUCUGAUAGCAGGUGAACCUUGUUGAGUGUUCCUGCUUCUUCAGUUUAGGGUCGGUAUGCCUUGCUUAUCUUUCAAGGCUGUUUGAUUCGAUGUCUUAGGUGCUCCAUUAUUACCUUGUUUUGAUUAAGUUUGGAUUUUGACAACGUAAUGAGUAUUAUGGAUUAUUGUUUUUGUUUUAAUUACUGAUGAGGAGUUUUAAACUAUCUUUUGGUUUCAUCAGUUUUGAAUAAUAUAAGAUUUCUGAAGAUUAUGAAAUACUGCGUAUUUUUGAAUAAAUUAUUCCUUUGAUAUGUCCGUUUUGAGGCUUAGCGCGGGCGGGGUGUCCUUCCGGCACCGCUCCUGCGUUGCCGGUCACGGACCCGGGAUUCGGGUCGUGACAAAGGUGGUAUCAGAGCCCGGUUUUUUAUUAAAACCUCAUAACCUGUUUUAUUUAUUUAAAACCCUCGUAAUAUGUGGAGCUUAGGAUCUAUCUUGUCUUGAUGUCAUUCCUCUUAUAAUUCUCCAAUCUAGUGUUUGGUGUGUCCUCCUUAAAACUCCUUUAUAGUUAUGUUGAUACAUAUAUAUAAAUGCAUUUUUUUUAGGAAAUAUGUCGAGAGCUAAACAUGUAGUUAAUGCCGAUUAUGUCGGUAAUGAUCAAGAGGACAUUCCUAUCGCUCAGCUUAGGAAGGAGAGGCGCAAAAAGAGGGUUAGAACCCCUUCGC